UUGGCCCUGAAUCAAGGCCGUCGGUUUGCUGUAGCCGUUGGUUUCAAACAGGAGCCCAAAGGAAUUUUCUUCCUGUGGUCCGCUGGCCGAGCCAGAGCAUCUCCGGGGUGCGGCCAGGUCACUUGGAAGUGACAAGG
Cairina moschata (Muscovy duck) is the source of this 137-nucleotide small nucleolar RNA. The record is from Ensembl. NCBI's taxonomy places the organism in Eukaryota, Metazoa, Chordata, Aves, Anseriformes, Anatidae.